This 190-nucleotide ribosomal RNA is filed under the name Chitinophagaceae bacterium. RNAcentral's name for it is "partial 16S ribosomal RNA". It matches the Rfam family "Bacterial small subunit ribosomal RNA", at positions 1 to 180 of the family's 1533-position model. Lineage: Bacteria; Pseudomonadati; Bacteroidota; Chitinophagia; Chitinophagales; Chitinophagaceae. The record is from RNAcentral.
UUUACAAUGGAGAGUUUGAUCCUGGCUCAGGAUGAACGCUAGCGGCAGGCUUAAUACAUGCAAGUCGAGGGGCAGCAUGACUGUAGCAAUACAGUUGAUGGCGACCGGCAAACGGGUGCGGAACACGUACGCAAUCUACCCAAAACUGAUGAAUAGCCCUCCGAAAGGAGGAUUAAUACAUCGUAACUUA